This 208-nucleotide ribosomal RNA is filed under the name uncultured bacterium. RNAcentral's name for it is "partial 16S ribosomal RNA". It matches the Rfam family "Bacterial small subunit ribosomal RNA", at positions 568 to 774 of the family's 1533-position model. The record is from RNAcentral.
CGCGUAGGCGGUGACGUAAGUCAGGCGUGAAAGGCAUCGGCUCAACCGACGCACAUAGCCUGAUACUACGUUGCUAGAGUGCAGGAGAGGAGAGUGGAAUUCCAGGUGUAGCGGUGAAAUGCGUAGAUAUCUGGAAGAACACCAGUGGCGAAGGCGGCUCUCUGGACUGUAACUGACGCUGAGGCGCGAAAGCUGGGGGGAGCAAACA